RNAcentral lists this ribosomal RNA (516 nucleotides) under Hyloxalus azureiventris (sky-blue poison frog). RNAcentral describes it as "partial 16S ribosomal RNA". It matches the Rfam family "Bacterial large subunit ribosomal RNA", at positions 1862 to 2581 of the family's 2925-position model. The record is from RNAcentral. Lineage: Eukaryota; Metazoa; Chordata; Amphibia; Anura; Dendrobatidae.
CCCAGUGACAUUGUUCAACGGCCGCGGUAUCCUAACCGUGCGAAGGUAGCGUAAUCACUUGUUCUUUAAAUGAGGACUAGAAUGAAUGGCUUCACGAAGGCUAUACUGUCUCCUUUUUCUAAUCAAUGAAACUAAUCUUCUCGUGAAGAAGCGAGAAUCUAACUAUAAGACGAGAAGACCCUAUGGAGCUUUAAAUAUAAAGAUAUCUGCCCCUCCUUUUUGCAACUUCUUAGAAUUAAACAUACCCAGGCACUUUAUCUCAAAUUUUAGGUUGGGGUGACCACGGAGCACAAAUUACCCUCCAUGCUGAAAGAAUUCAUCUUCUUAGUUAAAAGCUACAACUUUACACACCAAUAAAUUGACUCUAAUUGACCCAAUAACUUGAUCAACGGACCAAGUUACCCUAGGGAUAACAGCGCAAUCUAUUUCAAGAGCUCAUAUCGACAAAUAGGUUUACGACCUCGAUGUUGGAUCAGGGUAUCCCAGAGGUGCAGCCGCUUCUAAUGUUCGUUUGUU